This is a long non-coding RNA of Xenopus tropicalis (tropical clawed frog), 513 nucleotides long. RefSeq lists it as uncharacterized. NCBI's taxonomy places the organism in Eukaryota, Metazoa, Chordata, Amphibia, Anura, Pipidae. The record is from RefSeq and is a predicted model, not a curated record. The transcript has 2 exons.
UGACCAAUGCACCAGUCAUUCCCACAUUAUUCUGUGCAUUGGGAGCAUGUGCAGUCUAGGAAGUGAGUAAUUGUGUAUGAUCAACCCUGAGCUCCUCUAGAUUCAGUUAAAAUGAUGUCCAGUGUGUUCAGCCCAUGGUGAGAAUUAAUAAAACACAAGAUUGUUUUCCGCCCAUGAAACUGCAAAUGCAUCCUUGGAACAGUUUCGGAGAUGCUACACAGGAAAGCAUGGUGGACCAUGAGGAUAUUCACACAGGGACCAUUGUACCAGCUGAAUGGCAUAACAAAAGCAACAUGCUUCUACAGCUGCAAAGUUCACAAGCAAGAAAUACAUCAACUGAUUCUUAAACCAACAGAGAAAAUGAUGUACAGUACCUCAGUGGUGUUGGCAAAGUAGACUGGCAAUUUCGUAUGAUUUAAAGAUUUUAAACUUUUUGCAAAUAUUACUGUAUUGUGAAUAAUACAGUUAUUACAUACCAAGUACAAAAUAAACAACUUGUUUGUUGAAACUGGA